This 465-nucleotide ribosomal RNA is filed under the name Vreelandella stevensii. RNAcentral's name for it is "partial 16S ribosomal RNA". It matches the Rfam family "Bacterial small subunit ribosomal RNA", at positions 338 to 795 of the family's 1533-position model. The record is from RNAcentral. Lineage: Bacteria; Pseudomonadati; Pseudomonadota; Gammaproteobacteria; Oceanospirillales; Halomonadaceae.
CCUACGGGAGGCUGCAGUGGGGAAUAUUGGACAAUGGGGGCAACCCUGAUCCAGCCAUGCCGCGUGUGUGAAGAAGGCCCUCGGGUUGUAAAGCACUUUCAGUGAGGAAGAACGCCUGGUGGUUAAUACCCAUCAGGAAAGACAUCACUCACAGAAGAAGCACCGGCUAACUCCGUGCCAGCAGCCGCGGUAAUACGGAGGGUGCGAGCGUUAAUCGGAAUUACUGGGCGUAAAGCGCGCGUAGGUGGCUUGAUAAGCCGGUUGUGAAAGCCCCGGGCUCAACCUGGGAACGGCAUCCGGAACUGUCAAGCUAGAGUGCAGGAGAGGAAGGUAGAAUUCCCGGUGUAGCGAUGAAAUGCGUAGAGAUCGGGAGGAAUACCAGUGGCGAAGGCGGCCUUCUGGACUGACACUGACACUGAGGUGCGAAAGCGUGGGUAGCAAACAGGAUUAGAUACCCUUGUAGUC